AAGAAACUGUGGUACAUAUACACAAUAAAAUACUAUUCAGCCAUAAAAAAAGAGCGAGAUCCUGUCAUUAGCAACAAUAUAGAUGGAAGUGUAGGUGCUUAUGUUAACUGAAAUAAGCCUGACACAAAAAAACAAAGUUCACAUAUUCUCAUUUAUUUUGUAGGAGCUAAACAUUAAAACAAUUGAAUUCAUAGACAUAGGGAGUAGAAUCAUGGUUACCAGAAGCUGGGAAGGGUUAUGGGGGUUCAGGGAGAUUAGUCAAUGGGAACAAAAAUAUAGAUAGAUACAAUAAAUAAGAUCCAGUGUUUUAUAGCACAACAGCAUGACUAUAGUCAACAAGAAUUUACACAAAUCUGUGCACUUUAAAAUAACUAAGAGUAUAAUUGGAUUGUUUGUAACACAAAUAAAGGAUAAAUGUUCAAGGUGAUAGAUACUCCAUUUAUCCUGAUGUGAUUAUUACGCAUUGUAUGUCUGUAUCAAAAAACCUCACAUACCUCAUAAAUAUAUACAUCUAUUAUGUACCCACAAAAAUUAAAACAAUAGCAACAAUAAAAAACAAAGAUGAAAUAAAGAUGGUUUUGGAUGAAUGAAAACUAAUAGAAUUCAUCAACAGCAAAUCUACUAUGAAAUAAAAUGCAUAAUUUUUUCAGGUGGAAGGGAAAAGGUACUAGAGGGAAACCUGAAAGAAGAGCAACACAAAUGGUAACAUCCACAUGAAUAUUAUAGACUGUUUUAUGCCCAAGUUUUAAAAAGAUGUAUAAUUGUUAAAAGCAAAAAUUAUAACAUUUUGGAUGGUUGUUUAAUAUACAGAGUUAAUAAGUAUUACAAUUAAAACAUGAAGGGGAAUAUUAAUUCUAAGUAAACUGUGAAAAGUUAAGUAUAUAUAUAGAGAGAGAGAGAGGGAAAGAGAGAGAGAGUAAUCUCUAGAGUAGCCACUGGGAAGAUAUUCAAAAAUGUAAUAGAUAAAAUGGAAUUCUUAAAACAUUCGAAUAAUCCAAAAAGGCACAAACAGUGGAAUUAAAACAGAAGCUACUUACCAUAGGAUAGUAUAUCAUUCUUAGCUAUCUAUUUUAGAGUAAUGAAAAUCUAUAGUCACAAUAAACAUGUACAUGAAUGUUUCUAAAAAUUUUGUUUGUAGUAAUUACUCAAAACUGGAAACAACUCAAAUGUCCUUUGGUAGGUAAAUGGGUUAAAUCUGUAAUUUAUCCAUGUAAUGGAUUACUACUCUGCAAUAAAAAGGAAAAAUUUAUCGAUGCAAUAGCACUGUUGAUUCCCAAAGGUAUUAUACUGAGUGAAAGAAGCAUUUUCAAAAGGUUACAUACUGUAUGAUUCCAUUUAUAUGCCAAUCUAGAAAAGGCAAAACUAUAUAGAAGAUCAGUUUAGUUGGUGUUAUGAGGAAGGGGAAGUUUUAACUACAAAGGGGCAACAAAAAAAAUUGUUUGGUGUGAUUUGGCUGUUUAUAUUCUGAUUAUAGUGAUUGUUACACAAAUCUACCUUUAUGUUAAAACUGUACACCAAAAAAAAAAAAGUUUUGUUGAGAAAAAAACUUAAUUGCCCAAGAUUAUGUGAGUUUUAUGUCAGAAGAAAAGGUAAAUAGUCUUCUGACUGG
RNAcentral lists this long non-coding RNA (1609 nucleotides) under Homo sapiens (human). RNAcentral describes it as "HSALNT0061737". Lineage: Eukaryota; Metazoa; Chordata; Mammalia; Primates; Hominidae. The record is from RNAcentral.